AAAAUUUUAAAGGUCGAACAGACCCAAUUUUCUAGCCUCUACACCAAAAAUUAAUUUUAAUCCAACAUCGAGGUCGCAAACUUUUUUUUCGAUAAGAACUCUCAAAAAAAAUUACG
RNAcentral lists this ribosomal RNA (116 nucleotides) under Psacothea hilaris hilaris. Its description in RNAcentral is "partial 16S ribosomal RNA". Lineage: Eukaryota; Metazoa; Arthropoda; Insecta; Coleoptera; Cerambycidae. The record is from RNAcentral.